GGCCUCGUAGCUCAGCUGGUAGAGCAUGCGCGUACAAAGCGUAGGUGACGUCCAUGCGUGGAUUCGAACCCUACCGAGGCUA
Non-coding RNA from Echinostoma caproni, 82 nucleotides. The record is from Rfam. Lineage: Eukaryota; Metazoa; Platyhelminthes; Trematoda; Plagiorchiida; Echinostomatidae.